AAACCAUGACAGAGGUCAUCGAACCAAGCCUAGUUGACCAUUGUAAUGCUGUGUUGUUUUACAAGCUUUGUAAAUACUAUUAUUGAUAUGAUAAUACUCUUUAAUAACCGUAUUUGACAUAAUGACUGCCACUUUGUGAUGUUCGUUGAUACUUAAUUUACAGAAAAGAUAGUCUUCUAACUUAAAGAGUGGUAAUUCUUUUGUAUUUAACUUGUUAAGGAUGAAGUAAAGACCAUAAUUAUUAAUACACGGUUAUAAUUGGUUAACUCACAAUUUUUAAUAUAGUAGUUGCAUGUUAAUGAUUAUUAACGUAGAGGUUAUGCAUUAGCAGUAGCUGUAUAUUGCAUUUAGGAAAUCACGAAUACAUUUUGUAUUUUUUUAUUGUCUCUGACAGGAGCUAUAGCAGACAAAGAAUUAUGAUACAUGAUUAUUAUAUGGUUCCUUGUGAAGCACUGUAAUCCAAGCUUGGCAUAUUGUGCAUACAGUGCCUGGUCAAGCUGGGGGUUUUGUUUUGUAACAAAGUAAUCGUCAGUUUCUGGAUUAUGGUUUUUUUGGCGUUUUCGAACAAAUAAACGACAACAGAGAAGUUA
This is a long non-coding RNA of Anneissia japonica, 590 nucleotides long. RefSeq lists it as uncharacterized. Lineage: Eukaryota; Metazoa; Echinodermata; Crinoidea; Comatulida; Comatulidae. The transcript is spliced from 2 exons. The record is from RefSeq and is a predicted model, not a curated record.